UAGACGAAAGCUCGCUGGAUUGAGUGUUUAGCUGUUAACUAAGUUGUUGUGGGAUCGAGGCCCACUUGUCUAG
Molecule: transfer RNA, 73 nt
Filed under: Lissemys punctata (Indian flap-shelled turtle)
Lineage: Eukaryota; Metazoa; Chordata; Testudines; Trionychidae
Description: tRNA-Asn
Source: RNAcentral